Molecule: long non-coding RNA, 1658 nt
Filed under: Sinocyclocheilus grahami
Lineage: Eukaryota; Metazoa; Chordata; Actinopteri; Cypriniformes; Cyprinidae
Description: lncRNA (ENSSGRG00000054155.1)
Source: RNAcentral
AGACCUAUCACAAAGAUAGGUUGUUGACUUAAAUGUCUGGUAUUAUUUAUUUGCUUUAGCAGAGACCCAAAGUCCUCAUCAACAAUUCACAUCAUCCACCACAGAAAGAACAUCGAGAAAGCAUCCCACACUUCAUGGCACAAGCUCGCCAAUCACAACAACAGGGCAUAUAGCUUUGACAACAACAAAUGAAGUUGUCACAACCAAAACAAGAAGAACCACCAGCCAGCCAACUUUGAUGAGCACAACAAAAGAGACGGAGUCUAUUACAACAACCAAUGAGACAACAACCAGCUACACAAGCAGAGAAUAUAUGACAACAACAUCGUCACAUACGCUGUCAGGCUCUUUCACUACAACAACAGGUGAAGCCAUUUACUAUGAUGGGUUAAGGUGCAUGGGGCUAACUAGUUAACACAAAAAAUAACAUUCUGUCAUUAUUUACUCACCCUUGUGUCAUCCCAAGCCAAUAUGACUUUCUUUCUUCCACAGAACCCAAAAGGAGAAGUUUAGCAGAAUGUUCACGCUGCUCUUUUCCAUAUAGUAUAUAAAGACCAAGAGCUGUCAAGCUCUUUAUUUACUCAUGUACACAUUCAAUCUUCCUAUAAACAUGUCGCAACAAGUUUGAAAAAGUCAUAGAGGUUUGGAAAAACAUAAAUGAUGACAGAAUUUCCAUAAUAAUCUUCAUUAAGCUAAAUCAUUGUUUAGGUAUAAAAAUGUGUUCUAACACUUAUUAAUCCGGGCUCAGACUACAGGAGUUUUAAAAUCCUAACCGAUUAUGAAAUCUGGUUGCAGCACACCCAUAAAGAGAAACUUCACAGAUUUUCUUCCCUCAAAUCGUAUACAUACACAUAUUAGCUAGCACGCUAGCAGCUUUCAACACUCACGUUCAAAACUGAGGUGAUUUCACCCCAGAGCUUGUCUUUGUCCUUUGACAAAGGGUGGUACAUUUUUGACACAUUUUACAAACUGUCGUGUCAUUGCAAAACUUCCACACGCAAUUUCCUCUAUCUCCACUAUUUAACGGACCUGUACAGCAGCUUGUUUUGUGGUCGCACAUUGGCUAUUGUGAAAGUUCUGAUGUAAUCAUAGCCGGAGGUGCAAGAUUCGAUCUGUAAACGCCUCACAUUACCUGAUAAUCCGCGCCGAACAUCGGAACCGACCGAGGUCCUUCACAAGACUUUUUCUCAGAUUCUCUGUAAAUCAGAAAUACCGGUAAAUCGGCCUAAAACUCUUGUAGUGUGAGCCCGACUUUAGAGAGGAAUUCACUAAAAAGUAAAACCCUUUUUUGCACAUGGUACAUCAGCGUAAUACCUGAGUCUUAUUCACUAACCAUCACAAUCCAGUUUACCGAGGGCAGGGCUGAAAUUGCACUGCGUAGUCAAUAUUUAAAUGAACUAGUGAAGUCACUGCCAUUCCUUUUCAUGCAAAUACGCCUCCUUUAGUCUCAAUAUAGACUAUUCUUUAGUCUCAAUAUCGACUGUUCUUUAGUCUCAAUAUAGACUAUUCUUUAGUCUCAAUAUCGACUGUUCUUUAGUCUCAAUAUAGACUGUUCUUUAUUCGCAAAAAUUGCCUGGCACAAUUUGUACUGCACUAUUACCACCAAUAAAAACCUGUCUGUUUACUUACGGUAAUUAACAGAUAUGGGUGUCAUGCCA